CGGGUAGGGCCGGGGGGCUCGCCCUCCCCCCACGCCCGAAACGGGCGCAAUGCGGGGGCCAGUAACCCGGCUUGGGGCUGUAGGCCCCCGCGGCAGACCCAGCCGACCAAUGACCCCCGUCCCGCGGGGCCGGCGGCGGCGGAGCCCCCUCCGGAGGGAGGGCGGCUACCGCCCUUGCCGGGGGAACCAGGCCAGGCCCGGAAGGGAGCAACCUAACCCCGGACGCCCGGCGUUCGCGGGGGCGCGGGGUGAGGCAACGGCUGGGCCCGCUGCC
Non-coding RNA from Hyperthermus butylicus DSM 5456, 274 nucleotides. The record is from Rfam. Lineage: Archaea; Thermoproteati; Thermoproteota; Thermoprotei; Desulfurococcales; Pyrodictiaceae.